AACUGAAGAGUUUGAUCAUGGCUCAGAUUGAACGCUGGCGGCAGGCUUAACACAUGCAAGUCGAGCGGGGGAAGGUAGCUUGCUACUGGACCUAGCGGCGGACGGGUGAGUAAUGCUUAGGAAUCUGCCUAUUAGUGGGGGACAACAUCUCGAAAGGGAUGCUAAUACCGCAUACGUCCUACGGGAGAAAGCAGGGGAUCUUCGGACCUUGCGCUAAUAGAUGAGCCUAAGUCGGAUUAGCUAGUUGGUGGGGUAAAGGCCUACCAAGGCGACGAUCUGUAGCGGGUCUGAGAGGAUGAUCCGCCACACUGGGACUGAGACACGGCCCAGACUCCUACGGGAGGCAGCAGUGGGGAAUAUUGGACAAUGGGGGGAACCCUGAUCCAGCCAUGCCGCGUGUGUGAAGAAGGCCUUAUGGUUGUAAAGCACUUUAAGCGAGGAGGAGGCUACUUUAGUUAAUACCUAGAGAUAGUGGACGUUACUCGCAGAAUAAGCACCGGCUAACUCUGUGCCAGCAGCCGCGG
RNAcentral lists this ribosomal RNA (524 nucleotides) under Acinetobacter baumannii ZWS1219. RNAcentral describes it as "bacterial SSU rRNA". It matches the Rfam family "Bacterial small subunit ribosomal RNA", at positions 1 to 520 of the family's 1533-position model. Lineage: Bacteria; Pseudomonadati; Pseudomonadota; Gammaproteobacteria; Moraxellales; Moraxellaceae. The record is from RNAcentral.